AUGAGAUAAAGCAUGAGCCUCGCCGCUCCGUUCGCCGCGGCUCUCCUCUGCGACGUCGCGGUCGCUCCCGCGUUCGUUCGCCUCCCGAGGCUCAGGACCUCCGUCGGCGGCGAGGACGGCGCCGGCGACGAGCCCGUCUUCCGUCACGGGGGCCCGCGGAUUCGCGCGCGUUCGGCUUCGGCCGGCGGUGGAAGAGCUUCGCUCGCCGUCUCGCAGCUCCGACGGCGGAAGGAAGGCGGUUCGAGCGCGACGCGCGGCUGCGCGGCCCUUUCUUCUGGAAAUGGCGCGGAUUCACGGCGAGUCUCCGGAGGAGAUUUCGUGGUCGUGAGUUUCUACCGCUUCGUGCGCGUUGAGAACCCGGAGGAGGAGGUCGCGAAGCACCUCGCGUUCUUGAAGGAUCUUGAUAUACACGGUCGGAUAUAUCUCAAUGCGCAAGGGAUUAAUGCGCAGUACAGUGGGCCACUGGCAGAUGCUCGCUCAUAUUUUGAAUGGUUGAGAGAAAAUGACAGAUUCUCGGAUAUACUAAUUCAGAUCUCUCCUGCUCUAAGUGGGCAUGCAUUCCCUAAAUUGAAAGUGCAAUUUAAGCCCUUGGUACAGGUGGAUGGAGGUAUUGCCCAUCUUCCCCUGCUCAACACUUCUAUGAGAGCAACACCUUUAGAACCUUCUGAAUGGAAGAAACGAGUUGUAGCACUAAGUAGAAGCCGUGAUGCAUCCAGUGGGAAUGUGGAUUCAGACUGCAUCAUACUGGAUCUAAGGAAUGGCUAUGAGUGGGAUAUUGGCCAUUUUCAGGGGGCUCGACGUCCUGAAGUUGACUGUUUUAGGAGCACUUCAUUUGGUCUAUCUGAGACAGAGGUCAAUGAUUCAGAUCCCCUAGCAGAUGUCAAUAAAGAGAAAACAGAUGUACUUAUGUACUGUACCGGCGGUAUCCGCUGUGAUGUGUAUUCUACCAUUUUAAGAAAAAAGGGAUUUAAGAGGUUGUACACUUUAAAGGGAGGUGUCUCUCACUAUCUUGAGAAUGAAGGUCCAGUGGAAUGGGUUGGCAACUUGUUUGUGUUUGACUCCCGCCUCUCUCUCCCUCCUGCUGCCUACAACCCUAGAUCCGCGACACAAACAUGUGACCUGCAGCAUGCUAUUAAGAAUGAAAAAUUCGCAAAAUGCUAUCUGUGCGGUUCAGUAGUCCAAGAGUUGAGACAUCGGAAUUGUGCAAAUCUUGAUUGCAACCUGCUUUUUCUAUGCUGUCCAGACUGUGUGAGCAGUUUCAGAGGAUGCUGCUGUUCGACUUGUAUGACUGCUCCUCGGCUUAGACCUGUUUUGCCUGGCCACCAGAGAUACGAGAAAUGGCAUCUUUAUAGAGAUUUGGAAAUACAACCAAGUUGACAUUUUAAGUUUCACAUGUGGCUGUGGAAAACCUUUGAGGUGACAUAUUUCUGCUUCUCUCCCGUUUCUGCUCGAAGAGUUGAGUACUGGGGGAUCAUGAUCUUGGAAAUGACUCUGAUGAGGCACUGCUUGAUCUUUACUGGGGAACUGCUAUUGAAAGUAUCAUGGAGGAGAAUCUGAUAACAUUUCGGGGUUCCCUGGACCCUACGUUGUUUCUUGGAGUUAACAUUAUCAGAUUAACUUUACGAGGUCGUGGGCUAUGUAUUGUCCUCAUCAUGGAUGAUUUUACACAUAACAAAUCCGUAGUGGAGAAGUAUUCGACCUUCUAAGGUCAGUCACUCGCAUGCCCGAGGAACGCAUCUCUUUGAAUCUGCUCUGCUGUUGCUUUUGAAAGAUCAGCUUUUGUUUACUCUCCUGUGUCGGUUGUGGAAGAUAACCUGAUCGUGUUCGGUUUCGUGUCGGGGUGGGAAACUGUUAGUAAAGAUGGAUUGAUGGGGUGAAUUUGAUGUCCUUGUGCUUUCCCAACCUGGGAUCGUAACACCUAUAUUGAAUUGCUUUAAACUA
This is an RNA transcript of Eucalyptus grandis, 1941 nucleotides long. It is a transcript of the gene named rhodanese-like domain-containing protein 8, chloroplastic, with no coding region annotated. The record is from RefSeq and is a predicted model, not a curated record. NCBI's taxonomy places the organism in Eukaryota, Viridiplantae, Streptophyta, Magnoliopsida, Myrtales, Myrtaceae. The transcript is spliced from 9 exons.